Molecule: unclassified non-coding RNA, 273 nt
Filed under: uncultured Glomerales
Lineage: Eukaryota; Fungi; Glomeromycota; Glomeromycetes; Glomerales; Glomeraceae
Description: sequence contains 5.8S rRNA gene, ITS2, 28S rRNA gene
Source: RNAcentral
AACGCAAAUUGCACUUUCUGGUAUUCCGGAGAGUAUGCCUAUUUGAGGGUCGGUUUAAACAAACAUCGAUAUGUUCUUGAACAUGUCGGAAUUGGGUUAUCUUGAACUUGUUCAAGAGGCUUAAAAUUUAUCAUAACUUCGGUAUGAUUACGUACUAAAUUUUGUCGUUUAAAAUACCGAAACGUAUUAGAUGUAACUGUUAUUUUAAUGGUAUUACGUCUAUAAUUUUCGAAUUUCGACCUCAAAUUAGGUAAGAAUACCCGCUGAACUUAA